This is a long non-coding RNA of Octopus sinensis (East Asian common octopus), 146 nucleotides long. RefSeq lists it as uncharacterized. The transcript has 3 exons. The record is from RefSeq and is a predicted model, not a curated record. Lineage: Eukaryota; Metazoa; Mollusca; Cephalopoda; Octopoda; Octopodidae.
CGGUGUUGGUGUUUGUUUUCAAUAUGAUUGUCUAGUAAGGCGGUGAGCUGGCAGAAACGUUAGCACGCCGGGCGAAAUGCAUAGCGGUAUUUCGUCUGCUGUUACGUUCUGAGUUCAAAUUCCGCCGAGGUCGACUUUGUCUUUCA